UUGACUAUUUAUGAAAAUAUAGAUAAGUUUAUGUACAUAUCUAAUAAGUUAAAAAGUGUUUGGAAAUGUUUUCUAUAAACUUUAUUUAUGUACACACUCAUGUGUACCAGCCCAGUGGUGAAAUACACAGGAACGCAGUGAAAAUUUUUCAAUUUAUAAGGAAGCCAUUACUACCAGCAGCUCUGCAGAAUCAUUUCACAAUCAAUUAAGAGCGAAAUUGCCAAAAAAACGAAGUUUUUUUAUAGAUUUUUGGACAUUUCGGCCGAUAUUAAUGCAACGAAAUCAAUAGAUUUUUUGAAAUCAAUUGGUGGAUGUACUAGUUUAUAUAAAACUAAACAAAAAAGGUUUAAAACUCGUUCAAAUUUUGCCCGUGAACGCCUCCAUCUAUUGCAUCAAAAAAAAAAAAAUUACAUUAACAGACAUUCUCAACCAGCUUUCAUUAAAAGAAAACUGCAUAAUCGCAGAAGAUUUUGUUAUUGAAAUUCCAAGUGAUGAUAAUGAUGAUGAUGAUGACGAUGAAGAGCAUUUUGUUAAUAAUGAACAUGUUGAUAAACGCUAUGAACAAAAAGACUCCCUUUGUUUAACAUGCUACGACAAAGAUCGCGAAGUUUUGUGUUUACCAUGUAAACAUUGCAAAAUUUGUCGCGAUUGCUUCAAAAAAAUAGAAGAAUCAUCGCAAAAUAAAGGAAUAAAAGUAUUGUGUCCAUUUUGCCGUUCCAUUGUUAAGGAUAGUAUGCUAAUUUAUAAUUAAAUGUUAACGUUUAUUAGGGUUUUAUUGACUUCAAAUAAUGUUUUUCCAAAUGAAAUCGCAAAGUUGAGGAAUAAACAUUGUGUAAGCGCAGAGAUUAUAAGUUUCCUUUCAUAUAAUUUACAAUAAAUAAUGGAUAUAGAUUUUCUUAUUUUUAUUCAUUUUUUAAA
Molecule: long non-coding RNA, 918 nt
Organism: Bactrocera neohumeralis
Lineage: Eukaryota; Metazoa; Arthropoda; Insecta; Diptera; Tephritidae
Exons: 2
Source: RefSeq, a predicted model, not a curated record